Molecule: ribosomal RNA, 292 nt
Filed under: uncultured bacterium
Lineage: Bacteria
Description: partial 16S ribosomal RNA
Rfam family: Bacterial small subunit ribosomal RNA
Source: RNAcentral
GUGCCAGCAGCCGCGGUAACACGUGGGAUCCGAGCGUUAUCCGGAUUUACUGGGCGUAAAGCGCGUGCAGGUGGUUCGGUUAGUUGGAUGUGAAAUCUCCUGGCUCAACCGGGAGUGGCCGUUCAAUACUGCCGGACUAGAGGGCGAUAGAGGGAGGUGGAAUUCCCGGUGUAGUGGUGAAAUGCGUAGAUAUCGGGAGGAACACCAGAGGCGAAAGCGGCCUCCUGGAUCGACCCUGACGCUAAGACGCGAAAGCUAGGGGAGCGAACGGGAUUAGAUACCCUCGUAGUCC